CCUGUCACCACGUUGUCGGGAGCACACAGUGAGAGCACUUUGCUAUCUAGGGAGCCACAUAUGAGAGCUAUCCUCCUCUAUGCUCACUAUGACCUCAUGGUCAAUCAUUAAUGAAGGCAACUGGAGAGAGAAGUUUAGAGCCUAAUAAAUGCUAAGAGCAACUGGCAAGUUCUUCUCUUUCUUUCUGCCCCUCCCAUCCUGGUCGUGCGUGGGAAGUGAGCACCUGCCCAGAGUGUUGUCAUUCUACCGUGGCUCCAGUCAUGGGAGGCCCCUCCCCACCAAGGCCCUCCUAAAAAUCUGGGUCUGAAGCAGACAGCUGUGAAGACACAGAGAAUGGUAGAGGAAAUGGCCAGGAGGCCACGUGAGCGAGGAAGGAGGCUCAGUAAACCGAUGGCAAAAACACUGAGCUGGGCAGGAGGUCCUGAGUUCUGAACUUGGCUCCAUCAGAGAUCUCACGGUUGUGGCGAACCAGGAUCUUCAAUGGACGGACAUGUCCGCAGCCCCUAAGUUCCCAGAUUUUGUCUGCCAGUGAUCUGAAGGAUUUGUUGGGCUCGAGCAGGAGAGAGGACAUGGACCCAGGAAUGCUGCCUAUUUUCACCUAUUUGCCCCCGUUUUACCCUCCUUUCUCCCAAUUUGAAACUGGCAAAGUGUACCACUAUAAACAGUAUAAUUAAAGGGCCACCUAGACCAGUGAGUCCCAAUUUUACCAAUCCUGGGAGUGGGGAGGAUGCUUUAGAAUUAGUGUAAAGAGGAGGUGCCUGGGUGGCUCAGUCAGUUGAGUGUCCGACUUCGGCUCGGGUCAUGAUCUCACAGUUCAUGAGUUCGAGCCCCAUGUCAGGCUCUGUGCUGACAGCUCAGGGCCUGGAGCCUGCUUCAGAUUCUGUGUGUGUGUGUGUGUGUGUGUGUGUGUGUCUCUCUGCUCCUUCCCUGCUCACACACUGUAUCUCUCUGUCUCAAAAAUAAA
Acinonyx jubatus (cheetah) is the source of this 964-nucleotide long non-coding RNA. RefSeq lists it as uncharacterized. The transcript has 3 exons. Lineage: Eukaryota; Metazoa; Chordata; Mammalia; Carnivora; Felidae. The record is from RefSeq and is a predicted model, not a curated record.